GAUGAACGCUGGCGGCGUGCCUAAUACAUGCAAGUCGAGCGAACAGACGAGGAGCUUGCUCCUUUGACGUUAGCGGCGGACGGGUGAGUAACACGUAGGUAACCUACCUAUAAGACUGGGAUAACUUCGGGAAACCGGAGCUAAUACCGGAUAAUAUUUCGAACCGCAUGGUUCGAUAGUGAAAGAUGGCUUUGCUAUCACUUAUAGAUGGACCUGCGCCGUAUUAGCUAGUUGGUAAGGUAACGGCUUACCAAGGCAACGAUACGUAGCCGACCUGAGAGGGUGAUCGGCCACACGGGAACUGAGACACGGUCCAGACUCCUACGGGAGGCAGCAGUAGGGAAUAUUCCGCAAUGGGCGAAAGCCUGACGGAGCAACGCCGCGUGAGUGAUGAAGGUCUUCGGAUCGUAAAACUCUGUUAUUAGGGAAGAACAAACGUGUAAGUAACUGUGCACGUCUUGACGGUACCUAAUCAGAAAGCCACGGCUAACUACGUG
This 497-nucleotide ribosomal RNA is filed under the name uncultured bacterium. RNAcentral's name for it is "partial 16S ribosomal RNA". It matches the Rfam family "Bacterial small subunit ribosomal RNA", at positions 28 to 507 of the family's 1533-position model. The record is from RNAcentral.